Molecule: long non-coding RNA, 288 nt
Filed under: Phoenix dactylifera (date palm)
Lineage: Eukaryota; Viridiplantae; Streptophyta; Magnoliopsida; Arecales; Arecaceae
Description: long non-coding RNA (PDAC_LNC015306)
Source: RNAcentral
UCCUCUUUUAACCGCCUCUACAACCCUUAUCCGACCCCUCUAGACUAUAUCCACCCUUUGUAUAGCCUAAUGUCAUCAAAAGACUAGAUAGGGAUGGAUAUUUACCUUUUUCUUUUUGGAAAUCGAGGUCCUUGCGUAGAGGGGAAGGAGAUCUACGUUUUUUCCUUCAGCUGGAAGUGCAACCGGGAUCCCUCUCCUCCUCGAAUCCCCUUCCUCUUCUUCUUUCUUCUUCUUCUUCUUCUCUUUUUUUUCUUUCUCUCUGUGUUUCCACGCCUGAGACCUCCUCUC